CAAGAGAACCGGAACACAGGGUGCUGCAUGGCUGUCGUCAGCUCGUGUCGUGAGAUGUUGGGUUAAGUCCCGCAACGAGCGCAACCCUUGUCAUUAGUUGCCAUCAUUUGGUUGGGCACUCUAAUGAGACUGCCGGUGACAAACCGGAGGAAGGUGGGGAUGACGUCAAGUCCUCAUGGCCCUUAUGGGUAGGGCUUCACACGUCAUACAAUGGUCGGUACAGAGGGUUGCCAACCCGCGAGGGGGAGCUAAUCCCACAAAGCCGAUCGUAGUCCGGAUCGCAGUCUGCAACUCGACUGCGUGAAGUCGGAAUCGCUAGUAAUCGUGGAUCAGCAUGUCACGGUGAAUACGUUCCCGGGUCUU
Molecule: ribosomal RNA, 363 nt
Filed under: uncultured Rhodocyclaceae bacterium
Lineage: Bacteria; Pseudomonadati; Pseudomonadota; Betaproteobacteria; Rhodocyclales; Rhodocyclaceae
Description: bacterial SSU rRNA
Rfam family: Bacterial small subunit ribosomal RNA
Source: RNAcentral